This 255-nucleotide ribosomal RNA is filed under the name uncultured bacterium. Its description in RNAcentral is "partial 16S ribosomal RNA". It matches the Rfam family "Bacterial small subunit ribosomal RNA", at positions 524 to 776 of the family's 1533-position model. The record is from RNAcentral.
UACGAAGGGGGCUAGCGUUGCUCGGAAUUACUGGGCGUAAAGGGCGCGUAGGCGGCUCUGUUAGUCAGGCGUGAAAGUCCUGGGCUCAACCUGGGAACUGCGCUUGAUACGGCAGGGCUAGAGGAUGGAAGAGGGGUCGCGGAAUUCCCGGUGUAGCGGUGAAAUGCGCAGAUAUACGGGAGAAACACCAAGGCGAAGGCAGCUUGCUGGGACGGUACUGACACUGAGACGCGAAAGCGUGGGGGAGCAAACAGG